CCCCAAGCAUAGAUUCUGGCAGAAAGAAACAGUCUGGACUGAUGACACACUACAACAUUUGGUCAUGUGGAAAGAAUGAUCUUCAGGAAAAAUCACACCCUUGGCAAAGGCUUUUUACAGAGGCAAGGGCGAGCCGGCCAAUUCUGACAAUAUUCCAGUGGCAAGGGAGCCAGGCUGACUCAGUCAUCAUUACUUGUGUUUCGUCUCUUCCUCCCACAUCUCCUUGUAUAACUGUCUUUUGGGGAGGGGUGAAGUGAUAGUAAGAAAAACAACAGCACUUUGAAAAAGGGACAGGGGGAGAAACAAGAAGGGGAGAAAGAGUUGGGGAGAGCUCUUGGGUGAUGGGGAGAUAGCACUGGGGAUGUUCUGGAGCCUGACAGAACUGUGUGGUCCCUCCAGCUGGAGAUGCUGGGAAAACAGGAAGGGAUUCGGGAGACGGCAGGGAUGAAGUUGGCUCAUGAAAUGCAGGGCUCCCUUAGCACUUUACAAAUACCAGCUUACAAACACUCCACAGUCAUCAGGAAACCCUUGAUGGAUGCUGCACAGAGAUCGAAGUUCAGGAGCAGCACCAAUAUUCAUCCGGGGCAAUUGGAGUGAGAGCAGCACAGGAUCACAGCCUGAUUUGGCCUCAGAGGCUUUCUUAUCUCUUGCAAGAUCUGGAAGCCAUGCAAAAGGUGUCAUGGGGAGAGGCGCUGAUGUCAGGCAUUUAUGGGACCACUGAGUGGGGGCAAAGAGGCAGGAGAAAAAGCCAGUGAUGAUGGGUCGACACCUGCAGGUAGACCCAUUUGCAGGUUAUUAGAAACUAGCUUAUUUAUCCAGCUUUUUUUUUUUUUUUUUUGGAGAUGGAGUCUUGCUCUGUCGCCCAGGCUGGAGUGCAGUGGCGUGAUCUCGGCUCACUGCAACCUCCACCUCCCAGGUUCACGCCAUUCUCCUGCCUCAGCCUCCCAAGUAGCUGGGACUACAGGCAUCUGGCACCACGCCUGGCUAAUUUUUUUGUAUUUUUAGUGGAGACGGGGUUUCACCGUGUUAGCCAGGAUGGUCUUGAACUCCUGACCUCGUGAUCCACCUGCCUUGGCCUCCCAAAGUGCUGGGAUUUCAGGCGUGAGCCACCGCGCCUGGUCCUCCAGCUCUCUUUUUGUGGUUAUCUUAGACGCUAUGAAUCUACUUGAAAACCAAGACGAUUGAUCCUUUAAGUGAGCUGCAGGUGUCCACCUGGGCGUGUUUUCUGCUUCUAAGCCACAGGCAAUUCGGUGUGCAAGUUUAACACCCUGAUAGGCCCUAGCCUUAGCUCUGUUUUAAACUCCCAAAAAGUGUUUUUGUGUUUGUGUGCAUGUGGGGGAGACACCUUAAAAUCCAGCAAUGCUGUGUCCACAGUGCUCUCCUGGGCCCCUUCCAAAGAUGGGAAUAAUAUGGGCAGCUGGUUUCGAUUUUUAUAACUUGCAACAGCUACUCUGUGAAAGCGGUGUGCAGCAACAGCCAGGCAAUCCGGACAGACUUAUUAAAUGUGCUGGGCACUGGGCACUGGGCACUGGGCACUGGAAUUCUCCUGGUUGUAGGCAAGCUGGGGGACAGGGAGGUGAGAGCUGGAAUAGUCAUUCUGAAGUGUGAUAUUUAUUGGACCCCAUACUAGGUGACUGAUGGAGAGGGGCUACCACUCUUCCAGCUAAACUCCGCUCUGGUUGGGACCCAGCAAUUAUUUUCCAUAGCGAAGUGUUAAUAAAAUAUCUGUUACUCCCAACACAACCUCCUGGGGGAAGGGACCUGUCUGUCUGCUUCAACUUUGGAUCCUCAGUGCCCACAUCAGGAUACCUGGCCUGAGGUGAGUGCUGUAGAAAUAGCUGUUGAAUGAAUGCAUGAGGGCCUGCUCUGCCUGAGGGCUGGGGACAGAUUGGGUGUUUUCUGUGUCCCCUCCAGAGCAUCCGGUGACCCAGUUUUAGGUCUCAAGGUCACUGCCAAGAAAGAGAAGCUGCUAAAGUGACACCUCUGUGCACCCACAUGACUUAACACAAAAGUUAACAGGAGCUCUUCAAAAACAAGCCUCUCGAGUGUCUGUCUCCUGUUUUCCCUGAGGACAGCAUCAGUGGCAUCAGAUAGGGGUUGGGGCUGGGUGACCUGCUGGUCCUCAGCCAUCACUGUGGCCCAGAGGUCAUUUAAGCAGCUCUCUGCUUAGCAGACAGGCAGAGGGAAUAGAUGGAAGGUACAGGUAAACACUGCAUGUGGCCACCGCGAGGAUACCCCGGAGCCUGGGAAACAGACAGGGACGUCGUAAAACCAACACAUAAUGGACCAGUGCAGAGACAGGCAAAACCAGUCAGAAGAAAUAGGAUGGUGCCUAGCCCAGGGACACCUGACUUAAGGUAUUUUUGUUUGUUUGUUUUGUUUUUUGAGACAGGGGUCUCUCUCUGUCACCCAGGCUGGAGUGCAGUGGCAUACUCACUGCUCACUGCAGUCUCAACCUCCCAGGCUUAAGCGAUCCUCCCACCUCAGCCUCCUUAGUAGUAGCUGGGACUACAGGUGUGCACCAACACAUCCAGUUCAUUUUUGUAUUUUUUUGUAGAGGUGGAGUUUCGCCAUGUUGCUCAGGCUGGUCUCGAACUGGGCUCAAGCGAUCUGCCCGCCUCGGCCUCCCAAAGUGUGGGGAUUACAGGCGUGAGCCACCACACCUCGUUGACCUAAGAGAGGGUCCUGCCGGUAUUACCCUGGAGGAAGGAAUGCUGCACAGAGGCCGAGAGGAAUUUGAACAGACUGGCCUUGCUGGGUUUUUAUCUCUUUUUGUCCAAUCCCAUUUUGACACAGUUGUCCAUGCUCCAAUCAUGCUUAUCCAAUGAAGUUUCCAUAACAGGCCUGAGAGGACAGGGUUCAGGAGCUUCCGGACAGCUGAGCAGGUGGAGGUUCCUGGAGGGUGGUGUGCCAGGGAGGGUGUGGAAGCUCUGCCCCUUCCCCCAUACCUUGUCCUAUGCAUUCCUUUAUCUGCAUCCUUCAUUUUAUUUUAUUUUUUUUUGAGACGGAGUCUUGCUCUUGUCGUCCAGGCUGGAAUGCAGUGGUGCGCGAUCUUGGCGCACUGCAACCUCCGCCUCCCGAGUUCAAGAGAUUCUCUUGCCUGAGCCUCCCGAGUAGCUGGGAUUACAGGCACCCGCCACCAUCCCUGGCUAAUUUUUGUAUUUUUAGUAGAGAUGGGGUUUCACCAUGUUGGCCAGGUUAGUCUUGAACUCCUGACCUCAGGUGAUCCACCCACCUCAGCCUCCCAAAGUGCUGAGAUUACAGGCGUGAGCCACAGUGCCCGGCCUGUAUCCUUUAUAAUAUCUUUUAUAAACAACCAAUCAGUAAAUGUGUUACUCUGACUUCUGUGAGCUGCUCUAGCAAAUUAAUCAAAUCCACAGAAGGGUCAUGGGAACCCCAACUUGAAGCCUGUCCGUCAGAAGUUCCAGAGUCCUGGACUUGUGACUGGUGUCUGAAGUGGGCAAGUCUUGGGGACUGAGCCCCUAGCCUGUGGGAUCUGAUGCUAUCUCCACAUAGAUAGCAAUGGAAUUGAAUUGGCGGGCACCUGGCUGGUGUCUGCUGCAGAGCUCAUUGUUUGCUUAGUGGUGGAGAGAAGUCUCCCUCCACAUGUGGUCACAGCAUCUUCUGUCUGUGUUGAUUGCUUUUGAUGUUGAUCGAGAGAACAGGAAAAAGCACAUUGAAUGUCUCAAUGAUGAAGAUGACAAUAAUCUGGCUUCUAGGUUGUUAUGCGGCAGGCAACAGCUGUGCAGAUCCUAAUAAUCUACUCUGGGUGACAGUUUAACACAGGGGUUGGCAAAUGUGGCCCACUUCCUAUUUUUAUAAAUAAAGUUUUAUUGAAACAUGGCCAUGCUCAUUCAUUUACAUAUCAUGCUGCUCUGCUAGAGUUGAGUGGUGGUGAUAAGACACCUAUGGUCAAUAGAGUCCUUUACAGAAGAAAGGAUUUACUAUUCGGCCCUUUACAGAAAAAGUCUGUCAUCCUGCCCUCAUUCAUUAGUAGACAACCAGCUGGUUCCUGGACUUCCUUGAGGAAAGUGCUAUAUUAAGCAGUUGUGGGUAUAAAGUCUGGGCUCCAACACUUGCUCUGUGACCUUGGGCAAGUUACUUACCUAGUCUGGGCUCAUCAUUUUCACAGGUAUAACAGGAGUAAUGACAUGGUGGGGAUGAAGUGGGAUAUUGUCUGGACCACGCUUUGCAUAGUGUCUCAUGGCUAGGAAGUACUCUAUACAAAGUAGUUACUAUUAUUAGCUAUUAUAUUUCAACUGAUGAAAGGUACAAAGAAACUCCCAGGAAGCGGGUCAUUGCUGCAUGCCGCUGUCUUUAAAGAACGCCCAGCAGCAAUCCCAUACGUAGCCAACAAGAUAUGUGGACGUCAAAAGUAAGUGCUCCUUGGGUGCAGCACACCAACAUGGCACAUAUAUACACAUGUAACAAACCUGCACGUUGUGCACAUGUACCCUAAAACUUAAAGUAUAAUAAUAAAAAAAUUUUAAAAAAAAGUAAGUGCUCCUAUGCAACAUACCCAGUAAAUUAAUGAUUCCAACUUCCUUUUCAGUUAAAGCAGUGGAUCAGAAUUUGAAAAGGAGUAAAGGUCAAGGCCAUGAGGUCUAACUAACACGGUAGCAUCAGAGCCUGGCCCAUAGUAGGCCCCCAGUGUCUACCGGCUGAAUGGAUGGAGGCUGGUUGUUUAACUGUCAAACCAUACUCUCUGAUGAUAAGACCACAGUUAGCCAGAAGAUAAAGUUUCUGCCUCCAAUAUUUUUGGGUCUUAGAAAGGAAAACAGUUUGCUAAAGAUGACAGGAAACUCAAAACAAGGACCUGUUAAUGCUUCCCCCAACUGGACGGAGGCAUUGCAAAAGGAUUCCUGGGCAACAGAUGGGCAAAGAAAAAUGUUUAAAAACAAAAGCAGGCACAUAAGGUCAUGAAUUGGCCCAAAAUAACCUGGGACACUGAGCAGACGGAUGCAAGCAGUGCACCUGACGGAAAUGAGGCCAAGCUGAUGAGCUGAAAUAGCCUCACUGGUGCCCUCCAUCCUGCUUUAGGAGGCCUCAGCAUGGCAAAGAGGCAUGCAUUAGCGUUAUUAGGUUUAGGUUUCCUCACAUCCUUAGUGGAUUGCCUUCAUUCCUAAGUCCCUAAAAAAUUGGAAACCACUCCACUUACCAGGAGCACACUUUGGAAUGCAGAUCUGGAAGCUAUUUUUUCCCUCCAGACAUUUCAUGACUUUGGUUUCUACAACAGCAGGCGAUGGUGAUGCUGCCAAGUUUCAAGAGAAGGGCACCUUAUCUGCAAAGUCACGAAUCCAAGGAUCCACAUGGGCUCCCACUGGCAAGGGCGGAAGGAAGUUGUGUGUCUUAGCUUCUUGAAAGAUCAGAAGAAGAUUGGGAGGUUUGGGUAUACAGGUACCUCACUGUACUGUGGUGCAACCCCCAGGGGAAAGACUGCUGGUAGCUUCUCAGAAUCAGUAGUGGGUGGGGGCUGUGUAGCAGAGCGUCGUAGUAAAUGCCCAUUUGGUUGCAAUGAACAGAAACUCAAACCAGCUAAAGCAAAAAGAGGGCACCUAUAGGGAAGAAAAGCCAGCUCCUGAUGUCCAAGCCUGACUCUUCAGCUUUGCAUAGCCACUGAUUCUCUGACCUUCCUCAUUUCCUCCCAGUAAACUCUCUUUCUGUUUAAGUUAGCCACAGGAGGUAUCUGUUGUUUACAACCAAGGGAUCUUGAGUGAUACAAAGGGUCCUAGUGGAACCCAAGGGCAGGUACUGGAACUGGCCUUCACAAGGAAGGGAACUGGGAAUCAGAAAGUCAUUGGGAAUCAAGGUAACUUUCUUCUGGGUCAGCUGGGAAUGUAUUCAGCUUCAAAUAGCAGAAAACCCAAUGUGAGUAGAUUGUAAAAAUCUGGAGCUCCUCCCACACAGACUCUGGCUUUAUCUGAUGGGAUAUUAACAAACAUAAGGCAAGUAGAAACUUGAAAAGUGCUUGUGCACUGGGGCUUGUUCUCACCUGCUGUUCUUGGCAACCUGUGGCCACCACAUGUGAACGAGCCUAGUCCAGUCGGCUGAAGGAUGAGUGGGCCUGCUGAGCAGAGACAAAGCGUGGCAGUGGAAGGCCUCUCUAGACCAGGUUUCUCAACCUCAGUGCUACUGACAUUUUAGAUCAAAUAAUUCUUUGUUAUGGGGAGUUCUUUUGUCCAUUGUAGAAUGUUUAGCAGCACCUUUGGCCUCUACCUCUAGAAGAGCACCUGCCCUUCCUUCGUUGUGACAACUAAAAUUAUGUCCAGACAUGGCCAAAGUUCUCUUGGGGGGCAAAAUUGCUCCUUGUUGAGAACUACUACCCUAACCCAACUUGCCUGCCAAGGCCAGGUGUAUGAGGCCAGGUGUAUGAAAGAGGCCAUUCUAAACCAUCCAGCCCCAGCCAAGACAGUCCAGACAGGAAAAGUGUGCAGCUUGACCCAUGGAAUCAAAAGAAAUAAUAAAUAUUUG
RNAcentral lists this long non-coding RNA (6471 nucleotides) under Homo sapiens (human). RNAcentral's name for it is "HSALNT0002090". Lineage: Eukaryota; Metazoa; Chordata; Mammalia; Primates; Hominidae. The record is from RNAcentral.